Molecule: ribosomal RNA, 31 nt
Filed under: Tuber indicum
Lineage: Eukaryota; Fungi; Ascomycota; Pezizomycetes; Pezizales; Tuberaceae
Description: partial 28S ribosomal RNA
Source: RNAcentral
GCUGAACUUAAGCAUAUCAAUAAGCGAAGGA